AAUACACAAUGCAAACCUGCAAUCCUUGGGUCUCAUGAAAAGUAUUUAUGUUUGGGAUCAUUUCUGUGUAUUAAUGGAUGGAUGUACUGACAACAGGAAUUGUAUCAUCUUACUGCCUUUAAGACCUUACUAACCCACAUCGUGCGAGAUACAGAAAGUGUCAAAAGACUUAGACAUUGCAAGCGUGGCUGAAUCAGCCCUGAAGAUCCACACGGAAAGGAAGAAACACAAUCUGCAGUGGCCCGGAAUGGCACCAAUUAUAUUGCGUGACUUUGUCUCAGUACCACCUAAACUGCACAACCAGAAGGAAAACCCGAUUAACAGAUCAAUAUUUAACAUGCAUCCUCUACAAACCUUUCUUCAUGGGCGUAGAAUAACGAUUCAUGGUGUGCAGAGAUCCUGUGGACAAUGAAAAGUGUAGUCUCUUCUCCUGCGCAUUGUGUAUGGUAGAUGCCAUGCAUGUAGGGGAGAUGGCAGCCGAUUGGCGCGCUCAACAGACUUCACCACCCUCUGGAGGGACUCCACAGACUUCACCACCCUCUCAUCAUUAAUGAACACACAGAGAAACUUGAAGUCAG
Esox lucius (northern pike) is the source of this 578-nucleotide long non-coding RNA. The record is from Ensembl. Lineage: Eukaryota; Metazoa; Chordata; Actinopteri; Esociformes; Esocidae.